GGGUCAGUAGGUUGGUCGUGCCACCGGUACGUACUGGUCUCACUGAUUCCUCCUUCCUGAAGAACCGUAAUGCCAUUAAUUUGGUGUUGCGGGGAAACAGGACUGUUACUUUGAAAAAAUUAGAGUGUUUAAAGCAAGCUAACGCUUGAAUACAUUAGCAUGGAAUGAUGAAAUAGGACGAUCGAUCCUAUUUUGUUGGUUUCCAGGAUUGACGUA
RNAcentral lists this ribosomal RNA (216 nucleotides) under Glomeromycotina sp. RNAcentral describes it as "partial small subunit ribosomal RNA". The stretch from base 40 to 216 matches the Rfam family "Eukaryotic small subunit ribosomal RNA", at positions 686 to 864 of the family's 1831-position model. The record is from RNAcentral. Lineage: Eukaryota; Fungi; Glomeromycota.